GUGGGGAAUCUUCCGCAAUGGACGAAAGUCUGACGGAGCAACGCCGCGUGAGUGAUGAAGGUCUUCGGAUUGUAAAACUCUGUUGUCAGGGACGAAUGUGCGAACGUUGAAUAAGCGUUUGUAUUGACGGUACCUGACGAGGAAGCCACGGCUAACUACGUGCCAGCAGCCGCGGUAAUACGUAGGUGGCAAGCGUUGUCCGGAAUUAUUGGGCGUAAAGAGCAUGUAGGCGGGCUUUUAAGUCCGACGUGAAAAUGCGGGGCUUAACCCCGUAUGGCGUUGGAUACUGGAAGUCUUGAGUGCAGGAGAGGAAAGGGGAAUUCCCAGUGUAGCGGUGAAAUGCGUAGAUAUUGGGAGGAACACCAGUGGCGAAGGCGCCUUUCUGGACUGUGUCUGACGCUGAGAUGCGAAAGCCAGGGUAGCAAACGGGAUUAGAAACCCUAGUAGUCC
RNAcentral lists this ribosomal RNA (450 nucleotides) under uncultured bacterium. RNAcentral's name for it is "bacterial SSU rRNA". It matches the Rfam family "Bacterial small subunit ribosomal RNA", at positions 354 to 796 of the family's 1533-position model. The record is from RNAcentral.